Molecule: long non-coding RNA, 349 nt
Organism: Oreochromis niloticus (Nile tilapia)
Lineage: Eukaryota; Metazoa; Chordata; Actinopteri; Cichliformes; Cichlidae
Exons: 2
Source: RefSeq, a predicted model, not a curated record
UCAGCGGUCAUGGAGAGUCUCCAUCCAGCUGGAUCACUGUCACAGACAAACCUACAAGCACACCUCCACGCAACAUGUCUACAACCUGGCGACCUGCCUUAACUCCCACCCCUGCUUCUUCACACCCUUCUUUUGCUGCAUCGCCUGACUCCUCUACCCUGCAACUAGUGAUCAGACUGGCUCUCCAUCUGCUGGUGUUCUUUCCAUAUUUCAUCUCCACCCUUCUCCUGGUGUCUUUAUAUCGACGCAGAGCCACAGGUAACAGUCUUGACUCAGCCCAACCUGCUGAGCAGGGACUGGAUGAUAAGUACGAUGACAUUAUGGUUACUGAAUAAACUAGUGACUCGUU